RNAcentral lists this transfer RNA (82 nucleotides) under Candidatus Gottesmanbacteria bacterium RIFCSPHIGHO2_02_FULL_40_13. RNAcentral's name for it is "tRNA-Leu". It matches the Rfam family "tRNA". From Rfam's summary of the family: Transfer RNA (tRNA) molecules are approximately 80 nucleotides in length. Their secondary structure includes four short double-helical elements and three loops (D, anti-codon, and T loops). Further hydrogen bonds mediate the characteristic L-shaped molecular structure. tRNAs have two regions of fundamental functional importance: the anti-codon, which is responsible for specific mRNA codon recognition, and the 3' end, to which the tRNAs corresponding amino acid is attached (by aminoacyl-tRNA synthetases). tRNAs cope with the degeneracy of the genetic code in two manners: having more than one tRNA (with a specific anti-codon) for a particular amino acid; and 'wobble' base-pairing, i.e. permitting non-standard base-pairing at the 3rd anti-codon position. The record is from RNAcentral. Lineage: Bacteria; Candidatus Gottesmaniibacteriota.
GCCAGGGUGCUGAAAUCGGUAGACAGGCACGCUUUAGGAGCGUGUGUCGUAAGACGUGGGAGUUCAAUUCUCCCCCCUGGCA